GGAGAGCUUAUGGUUCGGUGUUCC
RNAcentral lists this non-coding RNA (24 nucleotides) under Arabidopsis thaliana (thale cress). Lineage: Eukaryota; Viridiplantae; Streptophyta; Magnoliopsida; Brassicales; Brassicaceae. The record is from RNAcentral.